UACGAAGGGGGCUAGCGUUGUUCGGAAUCACUGGGCGUAAAGGGCUCGUAGGUGGCCAACUAAGUCGGACGUGAAAUCCCUCGGCUUAACCGGGGAACUGCGUCCGAUACUGGUUGGCUUGAGUUUGGAAGAGGCGAGUGGAAUUCCCGGUGUAGCGGUGAAAUGCGCAGAUAUCGGGAGGAACACCGAUGGCGAAGGCAAUCCCCUGGGCCUGCACUGACGCUCAUGCACGAAAGCGUGGGGAGCAAACAGG
RNAcentral lists this ribosomal RNA (253 nucleotides) under uncultured bacterium. RNAcentral's name for it is "partial 16S ribosomal RNA". It matches the Rfam family "Bacterial small subunit ribosomal RNA", at positions 524 to 776 of the family's 1533-position model. The record is from RNAcentral.